This 72-nucleotide transfer RNA is filed under the name Camelus bactrianus (Bactrian camel). It matches the Rfam family "tRNA". Rfam says of the family: Transfer RNA (tRNA) molecules are approximately 80 nucleotides in length. RNAcentral also lists the same sequence under 3 other names. Lineage: Eukaryota; Metazoa; Chordata; Mammalia; Artiodactyla; Camelidae. The record is from Rfam by way of RNAcentral.
GAGGGCAUAGCUCAUCAGGAGAGCACCUGCUUAGCAUGCAGGAGGUCCUGGGUUCAAUCCCCAGAACCUCCA